CCUACGGGAGGCAGCAGUAGGGAAUCUUCCGCAAUGGACGAAAGUCUGACGGAGCAACGCCGCGUGAACGAUGAAGGCCUUCGGGUCGUAAAGUUCUGUUGUUAGGGAAGAACAAGUGCUAGUUGAAUAAGCUGGCACCUUGACGGUACCUAACCAGAAAGCCACGGCUAACUACGUGCCAGCAGCCGCGGUAAUACGUAGGUGGCAAGCGUUGUCCGGAAUUAUUGGGCGUAAAGCGCGCGCAGGCGGUUUCUUAAGUCUGAUGUGAAAGCCCCCGGCUCAACCGGGGAGGGUCAUUGGAAACUGGGAAACUUGAGUGCAGAAGAGGAAAGUGGAAUUCCAAGUGUAGCGGUGAAAUGCGUAGAGAUUUGGAGGAACACCAGUGGCGAAGGCGACUUUCUGGUCUGUAACUGACGCUGAGGCGCGAAAGCGUGGGGAGCAAACAGGAUUAGAUACCCUGGUAGUCCACGCUGUAAACGAUGAGUGCUAAGUGUUAGAGGGUUUCCGCCUUUAGUGCUGAAGUUAACGCAUUAAGCACUCCGCCUGGGGGUACGUCGCAAGCUGAAACUCAAAUGAAUUGACGG
Molecule: ribosomal RNA, 584 nt
Filed under: uncultured bacterium
Lineage: Bacteria
Description: bacterial SSU rRNA
Rfam family: Bacterial small subunit ribosomal RNA
Source: RNAcentral